GAGCCGCUCGCCCAAUACCGGGGUAUAGAAGGCCCGGUUCACUCUUAAUCUCUAGGUUCCAGGUUCGAGUCCUGGGCGGCUCA
RNAcentral lists this transfer RNA (83 nucleotides) under Rubrobacter sp. Its description in RNAcentral is "tRNA-Lys". The record is from RNAcentral. Lineage: Bacteria; Bacillati; Actinomycetota; Rubrobacteria; Rubrobacterales; Rubrobacteraceae.